Salvia splendens (bonfire salvia) is the source of this 1495-nucleotide long non-coding RNA. RefSeq lists it as uncharacterized. NCBI's taxonomy places the organism in Eukaryota, Viridiplantae, Streptophyta, Magnoliopsida, Lamiales, Lamiaceae. The transcript has 3 exons. The record is from RefSeq and is a predicted model, not a curated record.
UUCAAAAAGAAGCAAUUUCUCUCACUUUUUCCUGCUGCUAAGUCACAAUUUUCCUCGUUGCUACCAUUUACUUAAACAUGUCCAGCCCAUUAAAACUACAAAUAUAAACCUAAUUUCAUUCUUUUACUCUGCACACGCCGCUCCAUCUUCUGGAUUUCUUUCUCUGCACCAGAAAUUUUUCUUCCGCCAACAUUCUCUGGCUUCAUCAGCUCUUCUGUCUGUCAUUCUAACAUUGCCAGCAACCUCCUGGGAAUCUGUUCGAGUGGACUUUCCUGCAACACCAUUCACAGGUAAAUGCAGACUACAAAGCUGUUUCAUCUGAUCAAGAUCUGAAGGUAUGUGCAUUUCUCUUGAGAUUAAUCUGAAGAUGCAACUAAUUAGUCCCCUACUUGAGAUUAAGGAAGGUAUGCGCAUUUCUCUUAAAUGGCUCUGAAACAAAGCAUAUGUCCAAGAUAAAUAUCAUCAGCACAUCAGUCAGUAAUAAAACAAGAAUUCUAUCUGUUACUGUGUUUGCCUUCUAUUGAAUAUAUUUGGUGGACAUUUAUUUGGGCUGUGAUUUAAUUUGGUCCAAUGCCAAAUUAUUGGGCCUAGUCCAUGUGACCAAGCCUAUUAGCCCAAAGACCUUUGCUCUCCACCAUCCGAUUGCUGCCACGUCUCCUUUUCACUUGGAUUAUAUUUCUGCACCAUUGGAUGGAGGGUUGUGUUUGUUAUGUGUGAAGUGUAUGCUGGUUUUGUUCCUCACUUUACACUUCUCUCUCUUUCUCUCUCUAUUCACUCAAUUCAGUGUGUGCUCUCUCUUCUCUCUUCUUCUCCGAUGAGUUCUCUGGCAAUCUUCUUCUUGAUCCUUCACUACUCUGAAUGUGAUUGAUCAGUGUGAGUGCUGGUGAAGGCAACCUCUUCGAUUGCCUGUGUGUUGGUGAGAAUUAGGGUUUUGUGUGUGAGGGCUUUAGUCUGAGAUUGUGUUCGGUGGAUCUUGAUCCGGUGUGAAGGGGUUAUGUGGUGGAGGUAUUGACGGUUUGAGGCUGAUCUCUAGUCGAUUCAAUGGUUCUCCCUUGGAUAGAUCUGAACUGUUGGCGGGUGUUUGAGCCAAAAUCUUUGAUCUAUUCGGUGUCCUCUGUUUUUCUUGUUCUUCUUGUAUGUAAUACCUUGGAUCCUUUUGGAUCUUACUUGUUAUUACUGACUCGUGUACUUAGUGUGCAGGUUGUGAAGUAAUCAAGGGGCUAGCUAUGGUUCCAACAGAGAGUUGUAAUAGCUAGGAUAUAUUACUUGUAAACAUACUUGUAAUUCUUGAUUAAUAUCAGCGGCUUGGUUGAGAGUUUGACUGAGCUCUCUUGUAAGAAGAACAAAGAGGUCUUGGUAAUUAGUGAACCCGGACUGGUCUGAUCCCUACACCUUUUACUUUGUUGGUUUCGUCCUGAUGUUUGUUCAGUAUGCCAAUUCAGCUGGUAGUAUGUCAUUUCUUUGUCAAUUAUAUGAAUUUCCUUGUGAUUAAUCA